AACGAACGCUGGCGGCAUGCCUAACACAUGCAAGUCGAACGAGACCUUCGGGUCUAGUGGCGCACGGGUGCGUAACGCGUGGGAACCUGCCCUUAGGUUCGGAAUAACUCCCCGAAAGGGGUGCUAAUACCGGAUAAUGUCUUCGGACCAAAGAUUUAUCGCCUUUGGAUGGGCCCGCGUUGGAUUAGCUAGUUGGUAGGGUAAAAGCCUACCAAGGCGACGAUCCAUAGCUGGUCUGAGAGGAUGAUCAGCCACACUGGGACUGAGACACGGCCCAGACACCGCGGGGAGGAAGAGGGGGGGAUUAUGGGAGAGGGGGAGAAGGCUGGACCCAGCAAGGCGGGGUGAGGAAGGAAGCCUUGGGGUUUGAAAACUUUUUUCCCCGGGAAUGAAAAGAAAAGACCGGGAAAAAAAAGCCCCGGCAAACCCCGUC
Molecule: ribosomal RNA, 433 nt
Filed under: uncultured bacterium
Lineage: Bacteria
Description: partial 16S ribosomal RNA
Rfam family: Bacterial small subunit ribosomal RNA
Source: RNAcentral